This 497-nucleotide ribosomal RNA is filed under the name uncultured bacterium. RNAcentral describes it as "partial 16S ribosomal RNA". It matches the Rfam family "Bacterial small subunit ribosomal RNA", at positions 28 to 507 of the family's 1533-position model. The record is from RNAcentral.
GACGAACGCUGGCGGCGUGCCUAAUACAUGCAAGUUGAGCGCUGAAGGUUGGUACUUGUACCAACUGGAUGAGCAGCGAACGGGUGAGUAACGCGUCGGGAAUCUGCCUUUGAGCGGGGGACAACAUUUGGAAACGAAUGCUAAUACCGCAUAAAAACUUUAAACACAAGUUUUAAGUUUGAAAGAUGCAAUUGCAUCACUCAAAGAUGAUCCCGCGUUGUAUUAGCUAGUUGGUGAGGUAAAGGCUCACCAAGGCGAUGAUACAUAGCCGACCUGAGAGGGUGAUCGGCCACAUUGGGACUGAGACACGGCCCAAACUCCUACGGGAGGCAGCAGUAGGGAAUCUUCGGCAAUGGACGAAAGUCUGACCGAGCAACGCCGCGUGAGUGAAGAAGGUUUUCGGAUCGUAAAACUCUGUUGGUAGAGAAGAACGUUGGUGAGAGUGGAAAGCUCAUCAAGUGACGGUAACUACCCAGAAAGGGACGGCUAACUACGUG